This 774-nucleotide ribosomal RNA is filed under the name uncultured bacterium. RNAcentral's name for it is "bacterial SSU rRNA". It matches the Rfam family "Bacterial small subunit ribosomal RNA", at positions 122 to 922 of the family's 1533-position model. The record is from RNAcentral.
GGACCGGCCCACUUGUGGGGGAUAACGGUGCGAAAGCGCUGCUAAUCCCGCAUACGCUCUGCGGAGGAAAGCGUGGCAACACGCGCAAGUGGACGGGCGUGCGGCCCAUCAGGUUGUUGGUGUGGUAACGGCGCACCAAGCCGGUGACGGGUCGUUGGUCUGUGAGGACGACCAGCCAGACUGGGACUGAGAACGGCCCAGACUCCUACGGGAGGCAGCAGCAAGGAAUUUUCCCCAAUGGGCGCAAGCCUGAGGGAGCAACGCCGCGUGCGGGAUGACGGCCUUCGGGUUGUAAACCGCUUUUCGGUGGGAUGAUACUGACAGUACCACCGGAAUAGGCCCCGGCUAACUCUGUGCCAGCAGCCGCGGUAAGACAGAGGGGGCAAGCGUUGUCCGGAUUAACUGGGCGUAAAGGGCCCGCAGGUGGUGCCGCAAGUGGUGAUUGAAAUCCGUUGGCUUAACCAACGGGCGCAUCGCCCGACUGCGGCACUCGAGCCAUGCAGAGGUGUGUGGAAUUGCCGGUGUAGUGGUGAAAUGCGUAGAGAUCGGCAGGAACACCAGGGGGGAAGCCAGCACACUGGGCAUUGGCUGACACUCAGGGGCGAUAGCGUGGGGAGCGAACCGGAUUAGAUACCCGGGUAGUCCACGCCGUAAACGAUGGAUGCUCGGCGUGUGGCGGCUAUCAACGCGGCUGCGCGCCUAAGUUAACACGCAAGCAUCCCGCCUGGGAACUACGAGCGCAAGCUUAAAACUCAAAGGAAUUGACGGAAUCGA